UAAAUUUAACGAUCUCUUCAUCC
This 23-nucleotide small nuclear RNA is filed under the name Arabidopsis thaliana (thale cress). RNAcentral's name for it is "snRNA_13873". Lineage: Eukaryota; Viridiplantae; Streptophyta; Magnoliopsida; Brassicales; Brassicaceae. The record is from RNAcentral.